This 48-nucleotide ribosomal RNA is filed under the name Calonarius cobaltinus. Its description in RNAcentral is "Cortinarius cobaltinus partial 28S ribosomal RNA". Lineage: Eukaryota; Fungi; Basidiomycota; Agaricomycetes; Agaricales; Cortinariaceae. The record is from RNAcentral.
AAUAUGACCUCAAAUCAGGUAGGACUACCCGCUGAACUUAAGCAUAUC